AACAGAAUUACAAACAGCUACGGGUAUUGGAGGAAAAAAAAGAAUCCUAAUAUACUUUAUUCUUUAUGAAAGCUCUAAGAGAUCUAAUUAUUUGUUUUAAUGAGAAGACUGAAGGAAGCUGCACUCUUAUUUGGAAGUACAAAGAUGUGCUACUUGAACGCUUCAGUUUAUGCGAAACUAUUUCACUUGACUGUACUGAGUUUUCAUGAGUUUGUACAGCAUCAGCUGAAAUGGAGCCCUUGGAACAGGGCUAAACAAUACAGUUGCGCUAAUAAUGAAGAAUCUGUGAUCAGCCAUUGACAUUGUUGAAUGGGAGGUUGUUAUGCACUUCAUGCCCAUUAAGAAGACAGUAAACUGUUGAUUAUGAGCAUUCCGUAGUACACAUUUUUCUUACUAUACAGUGUCAAAGGCCAUAUGCGUGGUUUUUCUGCUCAAUCUGCGAAGGCAUUCACAAUUGUUUCACUCAGAUGUAAGGACCCAUCUCAGUUCUGCCUCUGUGCCAGCCUGUAAAACAUGGAUCAGUGCUAAGUAUUCUGCUGUCUUGUGCACAAAAUAUUGCUCAAGCGCAUGUUCUUUAAUAGUUGCAUCACCUUCAUUGCUGGUGUUACUGAGAGGUGUAGGAUACACAAGGCUUCCGUCAGUGCAGGCGGUUUGCCAUCAUUUUCUGAAGUUGGCUGUGCUGUCCUUCAGUGUUCUGAUGGACAUAUCUCUUACGUCAGUCACAGAUUUCUCUGCAUUCAAUGAUCGUGUCUCGAGUAGAACAAAUCUCUAAUAGGGUAAUGUUAAGUUUGGGGGAUACUUCUCGUCCUCAAUGCAAAACAUCUUGGUACAAAAAUUGGUCAAGUGGCCAUACAUUAGAAAGAUCUAUACAGUCUGGAAUAGAGAAUGUUUCUGGGCUUUGAAUGGAAAAUUGUUUAUUUAGAGGGGAAAAUAAGUACUUCAUCCUAUAAUCUGCAUCCUAAAAAUGCAGGAAUCAAAAUACUGCAUCCUAAAAUGUAGGAAACUUCAACACAAAUUUCACUCUUAGUUUUAAAGAAGGAUCAAGUCUGUAUGGAAAAAGCUUGCUUCAAAAAGCAAAUUACUGAGAUGUGACAUGGGGGAAAAAAAGAAAAGCAUUUAGGGGCUUUUGAAUUAGUAUUUCCAGUGCCGUAAUGUCAUUUAGUGACUUGGAAUGGUGUGGUAUUUGUAGUUAACUUCCUUAGCCUCAGUGAGAGUGAAAUUCUUGGAAAGAAGGAUGGAUUUGUGAUUUAAAUGUGAAAUUGGAAAACAGGAGAUUUAUUUCUGGUUAGAUGACAGAUAAUUUGAUUUGGGGGAAAUAUCACUUUCUGUUCCUUAAUGUCUGCUUAUGAAAACUGGAGAUUCACAAAGAAUAUUGCUUGAUUCAUCUGAAUAGAGGAUUUUAUUAAUUGUAAUGUAUUUUAAGACCCAGAAUAGGAAAGUAAUAUUAAAACAAGUUAACUAAUGACAAUAAAAGUUUCUUGGGAGUAGAUUGGCCUAAGGCAGCAUCUGUUACUAUUGUGAUUGUUUAAUUUACAGCUACCUGUAACAAAUAAAGGUAAAAUUUGAC
This is a long non-coding RNA of Gallus gallus (chicken), 1567 nucleotides long. The record is from Ensembl. NCBI's taxonomy places the organism in Eukaryota, Metazoa, Chordata, Aves, Galliformes, Phasianidae.